Molecule: non-coding RNA, 474 nt
Organism: Salvelinus sp. IW2-2015
Lineage: Eukaryota; Metazoa; Chordata; Actinopteri; Salmoniformes; Salmonidae
Source: RefSeq, a predicted model, not a curated record
GGAAUCACAUCAUCUCUGUUGAGGUAGAGAUGUUGUAGGGAAUCACAUCAUCUCUGUUGAGGUAGAGAUGUUGUAGGGAAUCACAUCAUCUCUGUUGAGGUAGAGAUGUUGUAGGGAAUCACAUCAUCUCUAUUAUUAAACAUUGAGGUAGAGAUGUUGUAGGGAAUCACAUCAUCUCUGUUGAGGUAGAGAUGUUGUAGGGAAUCACAUCAUCUCUGGUUGAGAUAGAGAUGUUUUACUGUAGGAAAUCCUGUCAUCUCAAAACUGUAAAAUCUUGCCUCAUUCUGAGUGUUUCACCUCACUGACCUCACUUCCUGCUUACUGACCACACACAGAGAGAAGAGAGGGCUCUUACAGCUGUGACAUCACUCCCUGGUUCUUUAGAGUCCCGUUCCUCUCCCUGCCGCUGCUGCCUCCUGGUUUAGACUUGAUUUUGUUGCGGUUGUCACGGUUCGGUUGUCACGGAUGCGGUUG